Molecule: unclassified non-coding RNA, 205 nt
Filed under: uncultured fungus
Lineage: Eukaryota; Fungi
Description: sequence contains ITS1, 5.8S rRNA gene
Source: RNAcentral
UUAACUAUUAUAUAGUACUCAGACUUCAUAUACAAACAGAGUUUAGGUCCUCUGGCAGACGCGAGCCGGCCGGAGCCAGCAGCCCGAGGGCAGGCUUGCCAAAGCAACAAAGUGUAAUAAACAAAGGGUGGUAGGUUACCCGGGAGGCCUUGCGGCAACCCAGGCGACUACUGUAAUGAUCCUUCCGCAGGUUCACCUACGGAAA